RNAcentral lists this ribosomal RNA (436 nucleotides) under Salmonella enterica subsp. enterica serovar Heidelberg. RNAcentral's name for it is "partial 23S ribosomal RNA". It matches the Rfam family "Bacterial large subunit ribosomal RNA", at positions 84 to 559 of the family's 2925-position model. Lineage: Bacteria; Pseudomonadati; Pseudomonadota; Gammaproteobacteria; Enterobacterales; Enterobacteriaceae. RNAcentral also lists the same sequence under 4 other names. The record is from RNAcentral.
AGGUGAUAUGAACCGUUAUAACCGGCGAUACCCGAAUGGGGAAACCCAGUGUGACUCGUCACACUAUCAUUAACUGAAUCCAUAGGUUAAUGAGGCGAACCGGGGGAACUGAAACAUCUAAGUACCCCGAGGAAAAGAAAUCAACCGAGAUUCCCCCAGUAGCGGCGAGCGAACGGGGAGGAGCCCAGAGCCUGAAUCAGCAUGUGUGUUAGUGGAAGCGUCUGGAAAGGCGCGCGAUACAGGGUGACAGCCCCGUACACAAAAGCGCAUGUGCUGUGAGCUCGAUGAGUAGGGCGGGACACGUGGUAUCCUGUCUGAAUAUGGGGGGACCAUCCUCCAAGGCUAAAUACUCCUGACUGACCGAUAGUGAACCAGUACCGUGAGGGAAAGGCGAAAAGAACCCCGGCGAGGGGAGUGAAAAAGAACCUGAAACCGU